This 202-nucleotide ribosomal RNA is filed under the name Vibrio cholerae. RNAcentral's name for it is "partial 16S ribosomal RNA". It matches the Rfam family "Bacterial small subunit ribosomal RNA", at positions 904 to 1105 of the family's 1533-position model. The record is from RNAcentral. Lineage: Bacteria; Pseudomonadati; Pseudomonadota; Gammaproteobacteria; Vibrionales; Vibrionaceae.
AAUGAAUUGACGGGGGCCCGCACAAGCGGUGGAGCAUGUGGUUUAAUUCGAUGCAACGCGAAGAACCUUACCUACUCUUGACAUCCAGAGAAUCUAGCGGAGACGCUGGAGUGCCUUCGGGAGCUCUGAGACAGGUGCUGCAUGGCUGUCGUCAGCUCGUGUUGUGAAAUGUUGGGUUAAGUCCCGCAACGAGCGCAACCCU